UGAAACAUAAUUUAAAAUAAAAUAGAAGAUUUUUACUCUUUUAUUGUAAGUCAAACCUUACUGCUUCCA
This 69-nucleotide transfer RNA is filed under the name Aphrocallistes vastus (cloud sponge). Its description in RNAcentral is "tRNA-Lys". It matches the Rfam family "tRNA". Rfam says of the family: Transfer RNA (tRNA) molecules are approximately 80 nucleotides in length. The record is from RNAcentral. Lineage: Eukaryota; Metazoa; Porifera; Hexactinellida; Sceptrulophora; Aphrocallistidae.